AAUCAACGCUGGCGGCGUGCCUCAGACAUGCAAGUCGAACGAUUAAAGCUCUCUUCGGAGAGUGUAUAGAGUGGCGCACGGGUGAGUAACACGUAAGUAAUCUACCUUUGAGUGGGGAAUAACCCGGGGAAACCCGAGCUAAUACCGCAUAAUGCAGCGGCAUCGCAAGAUGACAGUUGUUAAAGGAGCAAUCCGCUUAAAGAGGAGCUUGCGGCAGAUUAGCUAGUUGGUAAGGUAAUGGCUUACCAAGGCUACGAUCUGUAUCCGGUCUAAGAGGACGGUCGGACACACUGACACUGAAUAACGGGUCAGACUCCUACGGGAGGCAGCAGGUCGGGAAUUUUGGGCAAUGGGCGAAAGCCUGACCCAGCAACGCCGCGUGAAGGAUGAAGUAUUUCGGUAUGUAAACUUCGAAAGAAUAGGAAGAAUAAAUGACGGUACUAUUUAUAAGGUCC
Molecule: ribosomal RNA, 455 nt
Filed under: uncultured bacterium
Lineage: Bacteria
Description: bacterial SSU rRNA
Rfam family: Bacterial small subunit ribosomal RNA
Source: RNAcentral